GUAGCAUGUGUUGGACUUCUAAGUUCACUAUUGAGAAGUUCGUCGUGCUUCUUUCUCAAUGCUGAUUCUCUCUGCCAAGUGCAAACAAACACCACACAAAUUAAGAGAAGAAGAGACCCUGCUUUUCAUCUUGCACAAUGGAAUUCAAGUCAAAGGAAAUAGGCUGUAGAAACAAUACCAUGAUCCGGAUACGCUGGCGGUCUUCUUCAUUAAGUACAAACUGCAACUUCAUAUGCACAUGCCCGCCUCCUUCAAAGGGAAAUAUGUCAUCCCAAACGCCUUUCUCAAUCACCAACCUGGUUUCAACAACUGCCAUUAAACACGAUCAACACUCAUCAGCCUCACAGCUUCAGUACUUAGAGAUGGAAGCAAAAUGGGAAAGAAUUGAGCAAAACCUAUAUGUGAUAUUUCUUUUCCUUGAGCAUCCUGAAGUGUAACUAUCAAAUUGUUGCGAAGAGUUGUUAAUGGA
Long non-coding RNA from Hevea brasiliensis (rubber tree), 469 nucleotides. RefSeq lists it as uncharacterized. The transcript has 2 exons. NCBI's taxonomy places the organism in Eukaryota, Viridiplantae, Streptophyta, Magnoliopsida, Malpighiales, Euphorbiaceae. The record is from RefSeq and is a predicted model, not a curated record.